Molecule: ribosomal RNA, 1123 nt
Filed under: Vibrio xuii
Lineage: Bacteria; Pseudomonadati; Pseudomonadota; Gammaproteobacteria; Vibrionales; Vibrionaceae
Also listed under: 1 other name
Description: bacterial SSU rRNA
Rfam family: Bacterial small subunit ribosomal RNA
Source: RNAcentral
AUUGAACGCUGGCGGCAGGCCUAACACAUGCAAGUCGAGCGGAAACGAGUUCWUUGACCCUUCGGGUAAYGWGAUCGGCGUCGAGCGGCGGACGGGUGAGUAAUGCCUGGGAAAUUGCCCUGAUGUGGGGGAUAACCAUUGGAAACGAUGGCUAAUACCGCAUAAUAGCUUCGGCUCAAAGAGGGGGACCUUCGGGCCUCUCGCGUCAGGAUAUGCCCAGGUGGGAUUAGCUAGUUGGUGAGGUAAGGGCUCACCAAGGCAACGAUCCCUAGCUGGUCUGAGAGGAUGAUCAGCCACACUGGAACUGAGACACGGUCCAGACUCCUACGGGAGGCAGCAGUGGGGAAUAUUGCACAAUGGGCGCAAGCCUGAUGCAGCCAUGCCGCGUGUAUGAAGAAGGCCUUCGGGUUGUAAAGUACUUUCAGCAGUGAGGAAGGUUCAUACGUUAAUAGCGUAUGGAUUUGACGUUAGCUGCAGAAGAAGCACCGGCUUAAACUCCGUGCCAGCAGCCGCGGUAAUACGGAGGGUGCGAGCGUUAAUCGGAAUUACUGGGCGUAAAGCGCAUGCAGGUGGUUUGUUAAGUCAGAUGUGAAAGCCCGGGGCUCAACCUCGGAAUUGCAUUUGAAACUGGCAGACUAGAGUACUGUAGAGGGGGGUAGAAUUUCAGGUGUAGCGGUGAAAUGCGUAGAGAUCUGAAGGAAUACCGGUGGCGAAGGCGGCCCCCUGGACAGAUACUGACACUCAGAUGCGAAAGCGUGGGGAGCAAACAGGAUUAGAUACCCUGGUAGUCCACGCCGUAAACGAUGUCUACUUGGAGGUUGUGGCCUUGAGCCGUGGCUUUCGGAGCUAACGCGUUAAGUAGACCGCCUGGGGAGUACGGUCGCAAGAUUAAAACUCAAAUGAAUUGACGGGGGCCCGCAACAAGCGGUGGAGCAUGUGGUUUAAUUCGAUGCAACGCGAAGAACCUUACCUACUCUUGACAUCCAGAGAACUUUCCAGAGAUGGAUUGGUGCCUUCGGGAACUCUGAGACAGGUGCUGCAUGGCUUGUCGUCAGCUCGUGUUGUGAAAUGUUGGGUUAAGUCCCGCAACGAGCGCAACCCUUAUCCUUGUUUGCCAGCACUU